GUGGGUAGUUUGACUGGGGCGGUCUCCUCCCAAAGCGUAACGGAGGAGCACGAAGGUUAGCUAAUCCUGGUCGGACAUCAGGAGGUUAGUGCAAUGGCAUAAGCUAGCUUGACUGCGAGCGUGACGGCGCGAGCAGGUGCGAAAGCAGGUCAUAGUGAUCCGGUGGUUCUGAAUGGAAGGGCCAUCGCUCAACGGAUAAAAGGUACUCCGGGGAUAACAGGCUGAUACCGCCCAAGAGUUCAUAUCGACGGCGGUGUUUGGCACCUCGAUGUCGGCUCAUCACAUCCUGGGGCUGAAGUAGGUCCCAAGGGUAUGGCUGUUCGCCAUUUAAAGUGGUACGCGAGCUGGGUUUAGAACGUCGUGAGACAGUUCGGUCCCUAUCUGCCGUGGGCGCUGGAGAAUUGAGGGGGGCUGCUCCUAGUACGAGAGGACCGGAGUGGACGCAUCACUGGUGUUCGGGUUGUCAUGCCAAUG
Molecule: ribosomal RNA, 474 nt
Filed under: Klebsiella pneumoniae
Lineage: Bacteria; Pseudomonadati; Pseudomonadota; Gammaproteobacteria; Enterobacterales; Enterobacteriaceae
Also listed under: 1 other name
Description: partial 23S ribosomal RNA
Rfam family: Bacterial large subunit ribosomal RNA
Source: RNAcentral